GUGGGGAAUCUUCCGCAAUGGACGAAAGUCUGACGGAGCAACGCCGCGUGAGUGAAGAAGGUUUUCGGAUCGUAAAGCUCUUUCGUUAGGGACGAACGUGCUCUUUGUGAAUAAUGAGGAGUAAUGACGGUACCUAAAUAAGAAGCCACGGCUAACUACGUGCCAGCAGCCGCGGUAAUACGUAGGUGGCAAGCGUUGUCCGGAAUUAUUGGGCGUAAAGCGCGCGCAGGCGGGAUAUCAAGUCUGUCUUAAAAGUGCGAGGCUCAACCUCGUGAGGGGGCAGAAAAUGGUAUUCUUGAGUGUCGGAGAGGAAAGUGGAAUUCCAAGUGUAGCGGUGAAAUGCGUAGAGAUUUGGAAGAACACCAGUGGCGAAGGCGACUUUCUGGACGAUGUCUGACGCUGAGGCGCGAAAGCUAGGGGAGCGAACGGGAUUAGAAACCCGGGUAGUCC
Molecule: ribosomal RNA, 450 nt
Filed under: uncultured bacterium
Lineage: Bacteria
Description: partial 16S ribosomal RNA
Rfam family: Bacterial small subunit ribosomal RNA
Source: RNAcentral